Nannospalax galili (Upper Galilee mountains blind mole rat) is the source of this 809-nucleotide non-coding RNA. The record is from the annotation of a RefSeq genome assembly. Lineage: Eukaryota; Metazoa; Chordata; Mammalia; Rodentia; Spalacidae.
GGCAGCACUACAAAGCAGAAGGAAGAAGGAGAGUCCCAUUUGCUCAUGCAGGCAGCCGUCUGAGACACCUCGGGAGGCAGCUGGGCAUGGUGUGCCUGGAGUCUGUGCAUGUGUGCUCAUCCCUGACAAGCACAAGGGCAAAGAGGAACUGUGAGCUGUAGCCACUUACAGGAGCUGUGAUCUGCCAAGCAAACCUCUCCCAGGGCCAGGGAAAGGCACCCAGACAGCCAGAACCCUGAGAAGGAGACAUGGGUCUCAUCCCGUGUGACACUACCGUGGGCUCCAGGCUCUUCUGGCUGGCCCUUUGCCUCCUUGGAGCAGGUCCAGGGGAGCCUAGAAUUAUCCAGACACCAAAACAUCUGGUCACAGCUGUGGGAAAUGAAAGGAUCCUGAGUUGUAAACAAUAUCUGGGACACAAUGCCAUGUAUUGGUACAGACAGGGUUCUAAGAAGUCCCUUGAGCUCAUGUUUUCCUACAACUAUAAAAAACUUGUUGAAAAUCAGACUGUUUCAAGUCGCUUUACACCUGACAAUUCAGAGACGUCCCACUUAAAACUUCAAGUGGCAGCCCUGAAGCCAGAAGACUCAGCCACAUAUCUGUGUGCCAGCAGCCAAGACACAGCCCUGCAAGGCUUUAGUCUCCCUAUACACAAACCUCCUCAGCCUAGCCAGGAAGUUGUGGGUGCAACAAGUCCUGAGACUAGUUCAGCAGCCCACAGCACUCAAGCAGAUACCUCAGCCCACACUACCACCUGUCAAUUCACUGGAUACCACAGUAACAAAUUCUGUGUCCACACAACAGCCACCUGA